This is a non-coding RNA of Pelobates cultripes (western spadefoot toad), 525 nucleotides long. The record is from the annotation of a GenBank genome assembly. Lineage: Eukaryota; Metazoa; Chordata; Amphibia; Anura; Pelobatidae.
CUUUUCAGUUUAUCUGUGAUUUUAUGAGACUAAUAUGGCCGGUUAUCUAAAUGGACGUUUAGAAGAUAAACCCCCUUUUUCCUCACUAUGGACUCUUAUUCAGAGUGACAUUUCCACGGCAACAGCCUUAAAAGACAGGACCAGCCGGAUAAGGAUGUGAUCUCAGGAAGCCGCCCAGGCGAAACGCGUCAUCACGUCCACGCACGACGCUAUCACGUGACCGUAAGAAGCUCUGAGAACCAGGAAGUGCCUCCUACAGUGCCAGAGAUCGGAUACCGCUGACAGAGAUUGUGGGUUUCAUUAUUUUCAUGGGCAUCUGAUGGGAUAUUGUCCUUCAGGGUGAAUAAGGAAGCUAUUUUUUACUUGGAAGAAAUAAUGUGUGUUCCCUUUUACUGAGCUGGCGUCCUGCUGCAUUUACGAUCACUCAGUCCUGUGUUGUGGGCUACAAGCUGGAUAAGUUAGAACAGGCUUCCACCGCUCUUUCCUUGUGAGUUACAUUCCCAUUACCUUGGUCUCUGUAUUAAG